Molecule: unclassified non-coding RNA, 98 nt
Organism: Gorilla gorilla gorilla (western lowland gorilla)
Lineage: Eukaryota; Metazoa; Chordata; Mammalia; Primates; Hominidae
Rfam family: Y RNA
About the family: Y RNAs are components of the Ro ribonucleoprotein particle (Ro RNP), in association with Ro60 and La proteins. The Y RNAs and Ro60 and La proteins are well conserved, but the function of the Ro RNP is not known.
Source: Ensembl
GGCUGGUCUGAGUGCAGUGGUGCUUACAACUAAUUGGUCACAACCAAUUACAGAUUUGUUCAUUUUCCACUCCUACUGCUUCAGUUGACUAGCCAAAA